UUGCAGAAGAUCUAUUUAGCUAAGACUCUUGUUGAGAUAUGUAUUUGCAACUCUAACUUGGAACUUCUAAUCUAAAGCAAAUUUUACCCUCUUCACUUUUUUUGAUAGGGUGUGGCAACACGAGAAAUCAAUAGAAAACAGAAUCUUUGAAGUUGACAGCAUCUCUGAUGAAAUCUUCAAGCUUUCCUGAAUGGUGCAUGCAACUAAUGAGCUCAAGCACUAGCAUUCAAGGAUUCUUUACCAUCUGGUCCUAACACCAACUGGAAAAAAAAACUUCUAAGAAGCCCAUUUAUUAUACUAAAGAGGUAUCAGCCACCUGCCAUGGUGUGGACGCCUGUCAGCAAGCCACGGCCCUACACAUCCACGCUACAUCUGAGCAUCCUCCAGCCUGCCCGGAAGGCGAUAUUCAGAAUCUCCGUGGAGAACCACUUCAGGGAUUGACACCUUGAAAUUCCAACCAACCACUGGAGUAAUCUGUCUAAACUGCACUUCCCAUCAGUGUGUGUUAAGGCUGUCAGAUAAGCAACAGCAAACCGAAUUAUCAGUUCUAGGGCAUCAUUAUGGCUAUUUCCUGUGUGCCUGUAAAGAUAAAUUGGAAGGAGCUGGACAAGAUAGUGAGAGUCUUUACUGAGAAGUGGAUCUGCUACUUGUGAAAGGAGAGGAGGAACAGAAGGAGAGUGAGUAGACAAAGUCUUAGGU
RNAcentral lists this long non-coding RNA (699 nucleotides) under Bos indicus x Bos taurus (hybrid cattle). RNAcentral describes it as "lncRNA (ENSBIXG00000022108.1)". Lineage: Eukaryota; Metazoa; Chordata; Mammalia; Artiodactyla; Bovidae. The record is from RNAcentral.